Carassius gibelio (silver crucian carp) is the source of this 3645-nucleotide long non-coding RNA. RefSeq lists it as uncharacterized. Lineage: Eukaryota; Metazoa; Chordata; Actinopteri; Cypriniformes; Cyprinidae. The transcript has 3 exons. The record is from RefSeq and is a predicted model, not a curated record.
UAUCUUUCCAUUGCAAUCAAACUGUAAUUUAGUGUUCUCGUCAGUAAGUUUUCUUAACUGCUUCACAACCUUAUUGUUCCGUGCAACAUUUUUAUGGUGCAAAAUAUUUCUUGCAAGGAAAAUGUGGGAUGAUGGUUUCAUCAUGUUCAGGAAGUAGUUAUUUUUAUUCAUAUCUGAAAAGAGUUGCUCUGCUGUCUGACCGUUUAUUUUUCCUGCAAGCUCCGGGACCAAGCCAAUCUUCCUCAAGGAAUCCUUAAGAUCUUUACUAUUGUUCUGAUGGAACACAUCACUAAAAACAUAAUGGUCACAUGAACCAGUAACAGGGUGACCAUCUUGAUCAGCUGGUUCUUUUCAGUGGUUAAGCCAUGGCAAACUGACUUCCAAGUCAUUUUCAGAUGCCUUCUUGAUAUUUUCUUCAGAUGGAUACAGUAAUCAACCUUCACAAGGAUGAAAUAAUUUUUUUGAACGAUGGUUUGCAUGUGAGGCUAGAACCCUUGGGUAGUCGUACACAGUAACAUUUGGCAUGUGAUUGUUCAAAAUUUCAGGCUUAGUCUACGUUUUCUAAAAGUUCCCUACUUCAGCUUUAAGAUAGCGAGCUGCUCUAAGGUGACUGAAACCCUGUAACAGCAGGUUGUCCAGUGUAACGAUCCUUGGCUCAAGGGAAGCAACAAAACAAGGGACACACGAAAACCAAAUUAUAAGCUCAAUGUAAUAUUUAUUUACUUACAAAAUAAGACAACACUAAAUUAUAGAAUGAAAACAAUAAUAAUAAAAAAAAAACAGUAUUUCUGUAUUCAUCAGUAAGGUCAGUGUGCAAAGCAAGAUGCAGGUAUGAAAUGUAAUGUAGUGUUGAAGUGAAAAUGAAAAGAGUAACAAAAUACAACACAACCAAAGUGUCAAAAACCAAAGACUGACUCUCCCCGGUCAAUUAGUGAUCUCUUAAACAGCAUCCAAGGCACAAACAGGUGUUUCCAGUAGACUGGCAAUUUAGGUGAUUAAUGGGCUCAGGUGCCAACCACAAUUCACAGAAUCAACAGCAGGUGUCGUCACACCAGAUAAAUGCCAAAGGGAUAACCAUUUCGGCCACUGCAAGAUAAGUUUUUCUUUCCAAAUCUGUGAUUUCUAACAUAAAUGCACCUUUACAAUGAUGCUAAUUCAAGACCACCAAAAAGGCAAGUCAUCCAUGGAAAACAAAGAGACCAUGGAGUGAAGAGGAGAGCAGUGCAGUCGAGAGAAGAAUGGGCAAGUUUAUAGCUCUGAGAAAAGUACCAGGGAAAGAAGCCUGCAUGCUGUGCAUCACACAGGAGUCCCCAGCACUGAAGACCAGGACAUGGAAGGAUGUCAAGUAUUUUGUUUACAAUGACAUCAUUCGAGUCAAGAGAAAGCUCUUUUAAAAUGUUUGCAAACAGAGUUCAUUUUAGUCAAGUUUAAUUUUAUUUCCUCAGAUCUUAAUGCUACUCAAUGAAAAAAAAAAAACGUAAUGUACAUUAAUAAAUACACUACUCCAAGGAAGGACACCUCAAAUAGAUCAAAUAUGACAGUUACAGUUUUUCUCAGUUGCUUUGGUACAUUUCUCGAAUCAUCCUUGAGAUUUGCAAAACAACUCGUACAAAUAGCAAAACACCAUGGAUUACCUGCAGAAGCCAGUCUCUUGCUCAAAAUCCUUCGUUCAUCUCUCAAAAAUAAAUGAACAUGAACAUGUAAGUGCCAUCAGAAUGACACGUCCUUGUGUCAUAGUUUACGGAUAAGAAAGUCAAAUCGCUUAAGUCAUUGUUGUCAAUAUAACAGUGUACUCUGGAGGGAUGUUCUGAUGUAAACCAUGGCAACUGUUUUGGAUGACAGUUACUGUAUUGAACAGUAUGCCAUAUGCUUAUAUAUCCUAUUUCAAAAGUAUAAAUUUAAACAUUACUGUAUGUGGGAUAUUGAUUGAAAGAGACUGGACAGAAUUCACAGUUACACUUUUACUAGUGGUCUGACCAAAUUUUUUUUAUAGAAAAUCUUUACAAUGUCAUUGUGAUAUAGAAAAGAAAAAAAGAAAUGUGGGCACAAAGGUGAAAAUAAGUAAAUUUUCAGAAUGUGUAGCUCUUGUGUUGUCCUCUGUCUGUACAGUAUAAGCUUUCUAACUGAGAAUUCAUGAGAUGAACCUUUGAGCUAUUUCAGAGAAAUGGUUUAUCAUUGGUUUAUCAUCUACAUUAUCUUCAUUAGUAAAGAUUCACUUGCACAAUUCAUGCCAAAUUGACAAAAAGUCUAAUAAUAAUAAUGUGUAAAAAAAAAUGUGCUUGGCAGUUUAUGACAACUAUAUUAACCAUUUUGAAUGUAAUGACCUAUACGAUGAACUAGAGACUAGAUGUUUUGAGGGGUCAGACUAUUGCACAGAAAACUGUAAUACAUGUCGAACAACAUGACAUUAGCAACUGAUAAUGUUGGAAACUGCAGAUAAAUGUGAACCUGCAGCAGUGUUUCAAUCACUGAACUGUAGAGAAUUCACUAUAAGUACCUUAAAGUAAUCAAAUAGUAGAAUUAAAAGAUCAAAUUAUUUAUACAGCUUAUUGAUGUUGCAUACUAUAUACAGGUGAGCAGAUGAGCCUAGAACAUAAAUGCAAUGCCUAAUGACAAACUGUGUGUUCUAGGAUCAUCAAUAAGUUAUAUAUUGAGUUUGGCCAUGUUUUACCCUCCAGGUGGGUGUUCCUAUAAAAACUAACAAUGAAGGUAAGCAUACAUUAUUUUAAGUAUUUUCUUGUAAACAAUUGAAUGGAUCUAUUAAUAAAUCUAUUAAAUUGAAUACAAUUUAAAGAUUAAGUAACAAUAAAAAAAGUAUGUAACACUUUCAGAAUGUUUUCAUUUGUGGAAUUCACCUCAGAUCAGUGUAGCUGUAAUUCCUGACAUCAUUAAAAUAGUCAACAUGACUACAGUGGUUCAACCUUAAUGUUAUUCGCCAGUGAAAAUAUUAUUUUUGUUUUGUUUUGGCAGCCAAAAGUAUUCUCGUUGCUUCCUAACAUUAAGGUUGAACCACUGUAGUCAUGUUGACUAUUUUAACAGUUUGUUUAACUACCUUCCUGGACCUGUAAAGGUGCAAUGACAAUGCUGCGUUCAUGUGGAUAUGUGGAUCAGAUACCCUCACUAUUUCAUAAAAAAUACCUUAAUUUGUGUUCUGAAGAUGAAUGAAGGUCUUAUUGGUUUGGGACGACAUGAGGGAGAGACAUUAAAGACAGAAUUUUCAUUUUUGGGUGAACAAACCUUUUAAAGUCUCAUUUGUUAACAUUAGUUUAUGUAAAGGUAACAAACAGUGAGCAACACAUUUGAUAUAUUUGUAUUAUUCAUCUUUACUAAUGUCAGUUAUAAUAACAUGGCUGUUCAUUGGUUUUCUUGUUAACACAACAUAAUUUCUUUUUUAAAUUCUGCAAUACACCAAACAUGGGUGACAUGACUGAAGGACAAGGUUACGGCUCAUAAAUUCUAAGUUUACCUGUGCCUGCAGUGCAACCCUCUCAAGAUGACUCAAGGUUUCUGUGCUUGCAUCUCUCCUCUGGAUUUGUUGAUCUUUCAUGGACUCAUUCUGGUUACCAAUCUUUUGGCUUUUGACUGUGUUCACCUGUCAGCCAUGUACGGAGCCCAAUUUUGUUCAAUAAAUGUUGAAUUAUAUAA